GAUGAACGCUAGCGGUGUGCCUAAUGCAUGCAAGUCGAACGGGAUCCUUGGAUUCGUCUGAGGUGAGAGUGGCGAACGGGUGAGUAACACGUAGGUGACCUGCCCUAGAGAGGGGGACAACCAGUGGAAACGCUGGCUAAUACCCCGGAUGUCAAUGAGAUUAGAAGGCAUUGACUAAAGUAGCGGAUAAAACUGCUGCGCUCUGGGAGGGGCCUGCGACCCAUCAGCUAGUUGGUAGGGUAACGGCCUACCAAGGCAGAGACGGGUAGGGGGCGUGAGAGCGUGGCCCCCCACACUGGUACUGACACACGGACCAGAUACCUACGGGUAGCAGCAGCAAGGAAUAUUGCGCAAUGGGCGAAAGCCUGACGCAGCAACACCGCGUGGAGGACGAAGGCCUUCGGGUUGUAAACCGCUUUUCAGGGUGAAGAGCAAGGACGGUAGCCCUGGAAGAAGUCUCGGCUAACUACGUGCCAGCAGCCGCGGUAAAACGUAGGAGGCGAGCGUUAUCCGGAUUUACUGGGUGUAAAGCGCGUGCAGGCGGUCGUGUAAGUCGUGUGUGAAAGCGCUCAGGCUCAACCGGGCGAGGUCAUGCGAAACUGCAGGACUGGAGGUAGGUAGAGGCGUGUGGAAUUCCGGGUGUAGUGGUGAAAUGCGUAGAGAUCCGGAGGAACACCAGUGGCGAAGGCGACACGCUGGACCUGACCUGACGCUCAGACGCGAAAGCAUGGGGAGCGAACGGGAUUAGAAACCCCGGUAGUCCAUGCCGUAAACGAUGUGUACUAAGUGUUGCGGUGUCAAAGCUGCAGUGCUGAAGCUAACGUGAUAAGUACACCACCUGGGGAGUACGGUCGCAAGGCUAAAACUCAAAGGAAUUGACGGGGACCCGCACAAGCAGCGGAGCGUGUGGUUUAAUUCGAGGCUACACGAAGAACCUUACCAGGGCUUGACAUAUAACUGGUAGUGAAGCGAAAGCGGAACGACCCUUCGGGGAGGUUAUACAGGUGCUGCAUGGCUGUCGUCAGCUCGUGCCGUGAGGUGUUAGGUUAAGUCCUGUAACGAGCGCAACCCUCGUCGUUAGUUACAAGUGUCUAACGAGACUGCCGGUGAUAAGCCGGAGGAAGGUGGGGAUGACGUCAAGUCAGCAUGGCCUUUAUGUCCUGGGCUACACACACGCUACAAUGGCCGGUACAAUGGGCAGCCAAGCCGCGAGGCGGAGCCAAUCCCGAAAAGCCGGUCUCAGUUCGGAUUGUAGGCUGCAACUCGCCUGCAUGAAGUCGGAGUUGCUAGUAACCGCGCGUCGGCAACAGUGCGGUGAAUACGUUCCCGGGUCUU
RNAcentral lists this ribosomal RNA (1335 nucleotides) under uncultured Chloroflexota bacterium. RNAcentral describes it as "bacterial SSU rRNA". It matches the Rfam family "Bacterial small subunit ribosomal RNA", at positions 28 to 1382 of the family's 1533-position model. The record is from RNAcentral. Lineage: Bacteria; Bacillati; Chloroflexota.